GACGAACGCUGGCGGCGUGCUUAACACAUGCAAGUCGAACGGAAAGGUCCUGCUUUUGUGGGGUGCUCGAGUGGCGAACGGGUGAGUAACACGUGAGUAACCUGCCCUUGACUUUGGGAUAUCUUCAGGAAACUGGGGCUAAUACCGGAUAGGAGCUCUUGCUGCAUGGUGGGGGUUGGAAAGUUUCGGCGGUUGGGGAUGGACUCGCGGCUUAUCAGCUUGUUGGUGGGGUAGUGGCUUACCAAGGCUUUGACGGGUAGCCGGCCUGAGAGGGUGGCCGGCCACAUUGGGACUGAGAUACGGCCCAGCCUCCAACGGGAGGCAACGGUGGGGAAUAUUGUACAAUGGGCGGGAGCCUGAUGCGGCAACGCCGCGUGCGGGAUGACGGCCUUCGGGUUGUAAACCGCAUUCGCCUGUGACGAAGCGUUAGUGACGGUAAUGGGUGAAGAAGCACCGGCUAACUACGUG
Molecule: ribosomal RNA, 468 nt
Filed under: uncultured bacterium
Lineage: Bacteria
Description: partial 16S ribosomal RNA
Rfam family: Bacterial small subunit ribosomal RNA
Source: RNAcentral